This is a long non-coding RNA of Rhodamnia argentea, 124 nucleotides long. RefSeq lists it as uncharacterized. Lineage: Eukaryota; Viridiplantae; Streptophyta; Magnoliopsida; Myrtales; Myrtaceae. The record is from RefSeq and is a predicted model, not a curated record. The transcript is spliced from 2 exons.
UUUAUUUUUACGUUAUGCUAUAUAUGAAGUGUGUGUAUGCGUCAUGUGUGUGAAGAAGUUGUCGCUGUGAUAGUGGAUUUGAAUUCACAUAACUUCUGGUGGUCUCGCAAUUGCAAUUGGAUGU